GGUUAUGGCUCAGUGGCAGAGCACUAGCCUACCAUGUAUGAGGCACUGGGUUCAAUUCUCGGCACCA
RNAcentral lists this transfer RNA (67 nucleotides) under Marmota monax (woodchuck). RNAcentral's name for it is "tRNA.Gly". Lineage: Eukaryota; Metazoa; Chordata; Mammalia; Rodentia; Sciuridae. The record is from RNAcentral.